Molecule: ribosomal RNA, 219 nt
Filed under: uncultured fungus
Lineage: Eukaryota; Fungi
Description: partial 18S ribosomal RNA
Rfam family: Eukaryotic small subunit ribosomal RNA
Source: RNAcentral
AAGAUUAAGCCAUGCAUGUCUAAGUAUAAGCAUUAUACAGUGAAACUGCGAAUGGCUCAUUAAAUCAGUUAUCGUUUAUUUGAUAGUACCUUGCUAAUUGGCAUACGCCUGGCAAUUCUAGAGCUAAUACAUGCGUCCAAGCCCGACCUCUGGAAGGGCUGUAUUUAUUAGAUAAAAAUCAACAUCCGUGAUGAUUCAUAAUAACUUGUCGAAUCGCAG